Long non-coding RNA from Brachypodium distachyon (stiff brome), 748 nucleotides. RefSeq lists it as uncharacterized. Lineage: Eukaryota; Viridiplantae; Streptophyta; Magnoliopsida; Poales; Poaceae. The transcript has 2 exons. The record is from RefSeq and is a predicted model, not a curated record.
AACGACCGAUGUGAUGCGAGCGCGGCCCGUCUACAGCAACCGGUGUUGUGUUCCGCAUGCGUACAAGAAAACCAAAUAGCCGGUUGAUUAAAGACGCUCCAGCCUCAGUUAGAAAACAGAAGAAGAGACAUGUCAGGCAUACAAGGAAACCAGAUAAACGGAUAGAUAAAAACCACGCAGCAAUCCAGCAUCACUUAUGAAAAUAGGAAACGGCAGAAGAAAAAGGUGUCAGGUAAAAAUCAGCACAGUAACAAUGUUAAUGCAACCCAUAACUUCCCUGAAAGAAAGUGUAGAUUGAACUUCAUAUGGCAUGCACAGCUAGUGUUAAUUAUAUCUCUUCCAUUAAAAUUCUAAUGCCUAAGCUUUCAGGUCAGAAUCAUAGCAUAUGGAAAUCAGGAGAUUUCACCCUGUGCCUAGAUGGACCUGUCUGAGUAUUAUAGCACAUAGAUUGUUCAAUGCAAUGCUUUCCAGAUAGGAUGUUAAAGGCACUGAAUGAUUCGUUUCGGAUUAUUCAGAUCAACGCAAUAUAAAGUGGCACGAACGGUCCAAAUUAUCUGUAAUCGACAGAUGUGACUUCACAUGGAUGCACAAGUAGCCAUCAAUGUUCAUCCUGAUGCAAUCAAGUAGACCAAGCAUAUACAUGUCCCAUUCUUGGAGAUACACCAAUGGAGCAAAAGUAUCAUGUAUCCUCAGCAAGACACCAAAACCCCUUGGACCCAUGCUCUCUCAACCGAUGGGAAACUAAUGU